AGUUUGGUGUCGAAAAUCAGAGCGAUUAGAUGUAUAUCCGCGUCACUCUACGAAAAGUUUCGACGUUUCUGUUACAUAGUACUUUCCUUCCUUCUUUCACCGUUUAAUCGGACGCUAUUCUAACUUCGUAUAAUUGUACAUUAUUGCUUGAUUGCGAGAAAGACUUCGAAAUAUUAGAGGGAUGUCACGAAAAUCGGAGGGACAAACUGACAUUCAAAAGGACGCCACAAUGAUUAGUAAUGAAUCCGAUAAUUUUUCAUCGAAAUAUGUAAUGGCGGACAUUCAGUUUGGCGGGCAAUUUUUAUAAAUCAGUCGUGAAAUAUUUAUAAAUAUUUGACAGUGUAGUAGGAAAUACUUUGUAGUGUUCAAAAAUAUUUGAAAUAUAUUAAAUAUAUAUUUUUUGUUAUAUUCUUAAUAUGAUAUGUUUCUAUCUGUGGUCAAUGAAUAAUAAUUAGUUUAUAAUGUUUGAAAAGCAGUAUUUUCAUGAAUAAACACUCGAUAGAAGAAAGGAGAGAAAUAUGCAAAAUAGUACAUGUGUAUUUUAUUUCUUUCCCUUACUUCUAUCCCUUAAUAAAGUUCUUUUCCAGAGAAUUUUUGUGAUCGCGCGCAAUGUGGUCAAUAGAGUCAGUGUUUGAUGC
This 638-nucleotide unclassified non-coding RNA is filed under the name Bombus terrestris (buff-tailed bumblebee). RNAcentral's name for it is "misc RNA ENSBTSG00005037370.1". Lineage: Eukaryota; Metazoa; Arthropoda; Insecta; Hymenoptera; Apidae. The record is from RNAcentral.